UACUCAUAGAGCUGAACAACUCAAACCAGGGAAAACAGGAUGUUCUCUGCCCUGAGGGUUUGGCUGGGCCUGGGCUGAUGCUUUAGCAAAAGAUGUCCAUAGUUACUUACUCCCAACAUGUAACUUUUGUGAGCAGAAAAAGUCACUCUGCCUUACUUUGGGUGAAAUAAUCUAUCAUUCAUUUCUUAUUCCCUAGUGGUAGUUGUAUCAAACAGCCUUCUCCUUGUUAAUUUUCCUUCAAAUCCAUACCUGAACGGAUGAUACAAAUAGGCCCGUCACUGGACAUGUAUGCCUCUUUAUGUCAGAAUUUCUUAAACUCUCAUCCCUGAAUGAUCUUCAAGGUCCUGUGAACUCUUUAAAAUUGUCUUCAAAAUGUUAGAUGGAUUUGCAUUUUGUUUUCUGAGGAGAAGCUUUUAUGACUUCAAAAGAUUCCCAAAAAGGCCCACGACCCUGAAACAGGUUGAGCAUUAUUACUCAAUGUAAAAUAGUGAAUUAUUAUCUUGCUUAUUAAUUACUUAUUAGAUGGAAGCUCUAAUUUAUAAAUACUUUUCAUGUCUCACAUCCCUGGUACAUUUCUGGCACGGGAUAGUGAGAGAUGCCAAAACUUGCAAAUACAUUCCUUGAAUGUCUGAUUAAUAAUAUGAUCAUUUUGGGGUUUAGUCUCCUUCAGGUUAGCUGGUAAUUACAUUUCUGAUCUGUAAGGCAGAAACUUUAUAUUCUUGUCCAGCAAUAACUAGCCCAAGAUCUCCUUACCACUAUCCCUAAUCCACAAAACUUGAGAAAUCUCAUGUCUUAUGUGUUUCUGUUCUAGGGGUGUGAGCACAUUGCCAAACAAGAGUGCUGGUUUCCUAAAUACAGCUAUCCUUCACAUACCAUUGACUAUCCAGUCUCAUAAAGUCACCUGUGGAUCAAGAGCAUGCAAAGAAUUGGUCAUGGUUACUUGCAUUUAGUGUCAUAACCAGACUGCAGCUGAGCCAGUACGCUACCAUCCCUUGGAACUCCACGACUGCAGUGCCCUCCUGCCGACUUCCGGGUUUCCGACUGCUGGACGCUGCAUCUAC
This 1061-nucleotide long non-coding RNA is filed under the name Macaca mulatta (Rhesus monkey). RNAcentral describes it as "lncRNA (ENSMMUG00000057244.1)". Lineage: Eukaryota; Metazoa; Chordata; Mammalia; Primates; Cercopithecidae. The record is from RNAcentral.